RNAcentral lists this ribosomal RNA (1437 nucleotides) under uncultured organism. Its description in RNAcentral is "16S ribosomal RNA". It matches the Rfam family "Bacterial small subunit ribosomal RNA". The record is from RNAcentral.
GCUGUCGGCGUGCUUAACACAUGCAAGUCGAACGGAAAGGCCCUGCUUUUGUGGGGUGCUCGAGUGGCGAACGGGUGAGUAACACGUGAGUAACCUGCCCUUGACUUUGGGAUAACUUCAGGAAACUGGGGCUAAUACCGGAUAGGAGCUCCUGCUGCAUGGUGGGGGUUGGAAAGUUUCGGCGGUUGGGGAUGGACUCGCGGCUUAUCAGCUUGUUGGUGGGGUAGUGGCUUACCAAGGCUUUGACGGGUAGCCGGCCUGAGAGGGUGACCGGCCACAUUGGGACUGAGAUACGGCCCAGACUCCUACGGGAGGCAGCAGUGGGGAAUAUUGCACAAUGGGCGGAAGCCUGAUGCAGCAACGCCGCGUGCGGGAUGACGGCCUUCGGGUUGUAAACCGCUUUCGCCUGUGACGAAGCGUGAGUGACGGUAAUGGGUAAAGAAGCACCGGCUAACUACGUGCCAGCAGCCGCGGUGAUACGUAGGGUGCGAGCGUUGUCCGGAUUUAUUGGGCGUAAAGGGCUCGUAGGUGGUUGAUCGCGUCGGAAGUGUAAUCUUGGGGCUUAACCCUGAGCGUGCUUUCGAUACGGGUUGACUUGAGGAAGGUAGGGGAGAAUGGAAUUCCUGGUGGAGCGGUGGAAUGCGCAGAUAUCAGGAGGAACACCAGUGGCGAAGGCGGUUCUCUGGGCCUUUCCUGACGCUGAGGAGCGAAAGCGUGGGGAGCGAACAGGCUUAGAUACCCUGGUAGUCCACGCUGUAAACGGUGGGUACUAGGUGUGGGGUCCAUUCCACGGGUUCCGUGCCGUAGCUAACGCUUUAAGUACCCCGCCUGGGGAGUACGGCCGCAAGGCUAAAACUCAAAGGAAUUGACGGGGCCCCGCACAAGCGGCGGAGCAUGCGGAUUAAUUCGAUGCAACGCGUAGAACCUUACCUGGGUUUGACAUGGAUCGGGAGUGCUCAGAGAUGGGUGUGCCUCUUUUGGGGUCGGUUCACAGGUGGUGCAUGGCUGUCGUCAGCUCGUGUCGUGAGAUGUUGGGUUAAGUCCCGCAACGAGCGCAACCCUUGUUCACUGUUGCCAGCACGUUAUGGUGGGGACUCAGUGGAGACCGCCGGGGUCAACUCGGAGGAAGGUGGGGAUGACGUCAAGUCAUCAUGCCCCUUAUGUCCAGGGCUUCACGCAUGCUACAAUGGCUGGUACAGAGAGUGGCGAGCCUGUGAGGGUGAGCGAAUCUCGGAAAGCCGGUCUCAGUUCGGAUUGGGGUCUGCAACUCGACCUCAUGAAGUCGGAGUCGCUAGUAAUCGCAGAUCAGCAACGCUGCGGUGAAUACGUUCCCGGGGCUUGUACACACCGCCCGUCAAGUCAUGAAAGUUGGUAACACCCGAAGCCGGUGGCCUAACCGUUGUGGGGGAGCCGUCGAAGGUGGGACUGGUGAUUAGG